CUUGCAUGAGAAUAAGGAGGAAACUGGAGCUUCACCCAGCCAAGAGCUGGAUGAAGCCUCGUCUCCAUGACAGCGAAGGACACGCAGCCCUUCAGUAUUGUGGAUGAUUCAGGGCAUUUGUGUCCAAACUGGAUCCUCAUCAUGUUCUCCCUACAAGGCAGGCUCUGCAGGCCGUGGUGGAGGCUGAGUAGGAGUCAGCUAAGGAGAAGGCUAAAGUGGAAAAGGUGGCUGCUGUUAGCCUUACUUCUGACAUGUGGACAUCCAUCAGUAUGGAUGCCUACCUGGCUGUAAGGUGCCACUUUGUGGGGGAGAAAACCACACUCGGUUCAGUGCUUCCCCCGAUCACACACUGCUGAACAUAUAGGUCGUGUGAAAGCCUCCCUGAUGGAGGAAUGGGGAAUCGAUCAUAAGGUGACGUGUGUGGUCACUGAUGGU
Molecule: non-coding RNA, 435 nt
Organism: Gasterosteus aculeatus aculeatus (three-spined stickleback)
Lineage: Eukaryota; Metazoa; Chordata; Actinopteri; Perciformes; Gasterosteidae
Source: RefSeq, a predicted model, not a curated record